GUGCACCAGGCGCGAAAACUUCACACUGUGCGAAAGCACGAUGAGGGAAUCCCAAGUGCUUGCACGUAAGUGUAAGCUGUUUCUCUGUCUAAAACGCAGAGAGAGUAAGGGCUGGGUAAGACGGGUGCCAGCCGCCGCGGUACUACCUGCAGCUCAAGUGGUGACCGUUAUUAUUGGGCCUAAAACGUCCGUAGCCGGUUUAAUAAAUGCCUGGGUAAAUCGUGGAGCCCAACUUCACGAAUUCCGGGUAGACUGCCGAGCUCGGGACCGGAAGAGGGAGAGGGUACUUCAGGGGUAGGGGUGAAAAUUUCCUUUCCAUUAACGCUUUGCGCGAAGCGGAAAGGGUUAUCACAAUCCUGUAAUCCCUGGAGGACCACCCGUGGCGAAGGCGCUCUCCUAAGACGGUCGACGGUGAGGGACGAAAGCCAGGGGAGCAAACCGGAUUAGAUA
Molecule: ribosomal RNA, 450 nt
Filed under: uncultured microorganism
Description: bacterial SSU rRNA
Rfam family: Archaeal small subunit ribosomal RNA
Source: RNAcentral